ACGGAGGGUCCAAGCGUUAUCCGGAAUCAUUGGGUUUAAAGGGUCCGUAGGCGGGUUAUUAAGUCAGGGGUGAAAGUUUGCAGCUCAACUGUAAAAUUGCCUUUGAUACUGAUAGUCUUGAAUUGUAGUGAAGUGGUUAGAAUAUGUGGUGUAGCGGUGAAAUGCAUAGAUAUCACAUAGAAUACCGAUUGCGAAGGCAGAUCACUAACUAUAUAUUGACGCUGAGGGACGAAAGCGUGGGGAGCGAACGGG
RNAcentral lists this ribosomal RNA (252 nucleotides) under uncultured bacterium. RNAcentral's name for it is "partial 16S ribosomal RNA". It matches the Rfam family "Bacterial small subunit ribosomal RNA", at positions 525 to 776 of the family's 1533-position model. The record is from RNAcentral.